CAGCCCUAAACGAUGCGCGUUAGGUGUAUCGGUGACCACGAGUCACCGAGGUGCCGAAGGGAAACCGUGAAACGUGCCGCCUGGGAAGUACGGUCGCAAGGCUGAAACUUAAAGGAAUUGGCGGGGGAGCACCACAACAGGUGGAGCCUGCGGUCUAAUUGGACUCAACGCCGGGAAGCUCACCGGAUAGGACAGCAGAAUGAUUGCCGGGCUGAAGACCCUGCAUGACUAGCUGAGAGGAGGUGCAUGGCGUCAGUGACU
RNAcentral lists this ribosomal RNA (261 nucleotides) under uncultured archaeon. Its description in RNAcentral is "partial 16S ribosomal RNA". It matches the Rfam family "Archaeal small subunit ribosomal RNA", at positions 748 to 1008 of the family's 1478-position model. The record is from RNAcentral.